AUUGAACGCUGGCGGCAUGCUUUACACAUGCAAGUCGAACGGCAGCGCGGGCUUCGGCCUGGCGGCGAGUGGCGAACGGGUGAGUAAUGCAUCGGAACGUGCCCAGUAGUGGGGGAUAGCCCGGCGAAAGCCGGAUUAAUACCGCAUACGACCUGAGGGUGAAAGCGGGGGACCGAAAGGCCUCGUGCUAUUGGAGCGGCCGAUGUCGGAUUAGCUAGUUGGUGGGGUAAAGGCUUACCAAGGCGACGAUCCGUAGCUGGUCUGAGAGGACGACCAGCCACACUGGGACUGAGACACGGCCCAGACUCCUACGGGAGGCAGCAGUGGGGAAUUUUGGACAAUGGGGGCAACCCUGAUCCAGCCAUGCCGCGUGCGGGAAGAAGGCCUUCGGGUUGUAAACCGCUUUUGUUCGGGAAGAAAUCCUCUGGGCUAAUACCCCGGGGGGAUGACGGUACCGGAAGAAUAGGCACCGGCUAACUACGUG
This 484-nucleotide ribosomal RNA is filed under the name uncultured bacterium. RNAcentral's name for it is "partial 16S ribosomal RNA". It matches the Rfam family "Bacterial small subunit ribosomal RNA", at positions 28 to 507 of the family's 1533-position model. The record is from RNAcentral.